GUGUCACACACGUGCUCGUGGGCAGGCACGCACAGACCCGUGGCCACACGCGGGAGGAGCCAGACACCCACGGGGACUGCACACACCGGAGGGGCUCACACCAAGGGGCAGACCAGACACCCACACGGCGAGGGCACACGCGCACCCGCCCAGGCCAGACCCAGACAGACCCCACGGGAGGCCCCCCACCCAGAGGCCAGACACGGACCAGGCAGCCAGCAUCCCCUGGGAGGCCACAUCAGACCUCACCGUUCACCCGCGGUCCCAGAACCCGCCCUGUGCAGGCCCCCAGCGAGUGUGUGCACGGUGUGUGCGUGUGUCUCUAUGUGUGUAAAGAGAGACCACCUCCGAGGCCUGAGCCCUGUUCCCACAGGGCAGUGACCCCGCCUCCCCCCCACCAAGCCCCGGCUCUCAGCCCAGGACGCAGGCCUCCAACCACAGCUCGCCCCUCUUACCUGGAGAGAUGGGGGGAUGGAUGCAGAUACCAGCGGGACACCCCGUUGCCUUCAGCGCCGACAGCAGCUGGGAAGGCCCGCCGCGGAGUGGGCAGCGCCCGGACCACCACCUCGACGCCCAGGCCUGGGGCAGCCCCACCGCCAUCGCGGCCAGGCAGGUGUUCCACGGAGUUUUCCAGAGGCUACGUGAGGCGUGAUCUCGCGAGAGCUUCAAAGCCCUGGCAGGUGUGAUAACCCAGCUGGCCUUGUGUUAACCUCACUCAAGAGAGCUGCGAAGUGAAACACAAGGCCACUCUUUGGGCUGCUUUGCUGGUUUUAAGACAGAGCUAUUUUUCAUUAAAAAAAAGUGCAUUAUUCCUGUGAGUACAGUGAGUUCGUUGUCAUGAAGCAACGAAUGCAUAAAGACCUCUGUUUUUUCUCAGCUUUAAUUUCCAUCGCUGCAAAUGUCGAUAUACACAUACACAACAGCUCUGGGCCUGCAAUGAUUUUUUAAACGCUAAGGGGCCCUGAGACCCCCAGUGUCUGAGACCUGCUGCCUGAGACACGUGGCUAAUGAUUGAUUACAGCUCCUCUGCGCACCCAGCCUCAGUGGAGGACACACACAGGGAGCGCGUAUUGAGUCCUUUCGGCGCCCAGCCCCCAGCUAAAGGCUUUACAAGGUCAUCUCAGGGAAUCCUCACACCAGCCUUAUGCGGGCGGUAAUGUCAAGGCCGAGGAGGAAACCCAGGCUGAGCUGUGCGUCCAGGGCCAUGCUCCGGCCUUGCAGCUGGCCGUGUGACCCGCACUGGCCAGUUUUCAGGGGAAGUCAUGCGUUUCGUGUCCAGGCGGACACCCUGGGAGCUGGCAGCAGCCCCUGCUUCCUUCUCUCUGCCACAGCGACUGGCAGCGUUCCCGAUGCUGGCUGCCCCGUCAGCCUGACUUGACGGCACACAGCAAAGCCACAGCU
Molecule: long non-coding RNA, 1401 nt
Organism: Bos taurus (domestic cattle)
Lineage: Eukaryota; Metazoa; Chordata; Mammalia; Artiodactyla; Bovidae
Source: Ensembl